Molecule: non-coding RNA, 232 nt
Organism: Arachis ipaensis
Lineage: Eukaryota; Viridiplantae; Streptophyta; Magnoliopsida; Fabales; Fabaceae
Source: RefSeq, a predicted model, not a curated record
CGGAGCAUACUCAUACUAUUUUGUUGAGUAAGAUUCUGCAGUCUAACAUAAGAUUAGGGGAUGCCCAUCUAAACAAGAAGGAUCCCUCGAUGGUUUUAGCCAGGUGGGUGGAACUUCAGCAAUCUGUAAAUGUGCUCUUUACCAGUAACACUUCUGGAAAAACAGAAUAUGUUUAUGCUCGUGUGAAGCUUUCAAGAUAUUCUUUAGAGGUUCUGUCUGAAGAUUUACCUGC